AUGCUAAGCAUGUUGAUUGCGUUUUUAUGCUCACAGAGGUGUGCCUCCCUUGAACUUUGUUACCAUGUCUGCAGAUUACUUGUCUGACA
Small nucleolar RNA from Callithrix jacchus (white-tufted-ear marmoset), 89 nucleotides. Lineage: Eukaryota; Metazoa; Chordata; Mammalia; Primates; Cebidae. The record is from Ensembl.